Molecule: ribosomal RNA, 323 nt
Filed under: Anopheles annularis
Lineage: Eukaryota; Metazoa; Arthropoda; Insecta; Diptera; Culicidae
Description: eukaryotic LSU rRNA
Rfam family: Eukaryotic large subunit ribosomal RNA (bases 200-323)
Source: RNAcentral
GUAGUACCGGCGUGUACUGCGCCCAUAUAUAAACCCCACAGGCGUAGACAACUCGAACAAUGUCUGAGGGAUUACGGGUUCGGCAUGGCGCAAGCCUUCGUCGGACCCCUCCAUCCCGGGGUGUCCCGCUACGGGCUGUGUUCGCGUCUCACGAUGCGUUCGCUGUCCCGUGUGGGCAUCCCUCGAGUGCGUAGGAUGCGACCCGAAAGAUGGUGAACUAUGCCUGAUCAGGCCGAAGUCAGGGGAAACCCUGAUGGAGGGCCGAAGCAAUUCUGACGUGCAAAUCGAUUGUCAGAGUUGGGCAUAGGGGCGAAAGACCAAUC